UGGAGAGUUUGAUCCUGGCUCAGGACGAACGCUGGCGGCGUGCCUAAUACAUGCAAGUUGAACGCUUCUUUCUUAUCGAACUUCGGUUCACCAAGAAAGAAGAGUAGCGAACGGGUGAGUAACACGUGGGUAACCUGCCCAUCAGCGGGGGAUAACACUUGGAAACAGGUGCUAAUACCGCAUAAUACUUUUUCUCUCAUGAGUGAAAGUUGAAAGGCGCUUUUGCGUCACUGAUGGAUGGACCCGCGGUGCAUUAGCUAGUUGGUAGGGUAACGGCCUACCAAGGCAACGAUGCAUAGCCGACCUGAGAGGGUGAUCGGCCACACUGGGACUGAGACACGGCCCAGACUCCUACGGGAGGCAGCAGUAGGGAAUCUUCGGCAAUGGACGAAAGUCUGACCGAGCAACGCCGCGUGAGUGAAGAAGGUUUUCGGAUCGUAAAACUCUGUUGUUAGAGAAGAACAAGGAUGAGAAGAGAAUGUUCAUCCCUUGACGGUAUCUAACCAGAAAGCCACGGCUAACUACGUGCCAGCAGCCGCGGUA
This 543-nucleotide ribosomal RNA is filed under the name Enterococcus italicus. RNAcentral describes it as "bacterial SSU rRNA". It matches the Rfam family "Bacterial small subunit ribosomal RNA", at positions 1 to 522 of the family's 1533-position model. Lineage: Bacteria; Bacillati; Bacillota; Bacilli; Lactobacillales; Enterococcaceae. The record is from RNAcentral.